RNAcentral lists this ribosomal RNA (254 nucleotides) under uncultured bacterium. RNAcentral describes it as "partial 16S ribosomal RNA". It matches the Rfam family "Bacterial small subunit ribosomal RNA", at positions 524 to 776 of the family's 1533-position model. The record is from RNAcentral.
GACGUAGGGCGCGAGCGUUGUCCGGAUUUAUUGGGCGUAAAGAGCUCGUAGGCGGUGUGUCGCGUCGGCCGUGAAAACCUGCAGCUUAACUGUGGGCUUGCGGUCGAUACGGGCAUCACUGGAGUUCGGCAGGGGAGACUGGAAUUCCUGGUGUAGCGGUGAAAUGCGCAGAUAUCAGGAGGAGCACCGGUGGCGAAGGCGGGUCUCUGGGCCGAUACUGACGCUGAGGAGCGAAAGCGUGGGGAGCGAACAGG